UCUUUUGGAGGGUUUCCGAGGAAAGUUUUCUCAUUCCUAAUAGAAAACCACAAGAAGAGAUUUUACAUCUCAAUGUCAUGCCUGUAAUCGCUGCAGCCAUUUUAAUUCCAAAUCUGAGAUUGAAACAAUCACUGAUGGCAGAGCGAAAAGAUGGAAAAAAGCAGGAUUCUGGGGCGACUUCAUGAGCUGCUAAACAACCAAUGCCUACCUUACCUCUUGACUUUGUCAAAUAUGAAGUGAUAUUUCCUUUAUUACCUAAGUCCUUCUGAGCUGGGAUUUUUCUUGGGGCCAGUAGCAUUCUGCUAUGCCAUGAAACUUAAGAACGUGAAGCAAUGGACUUGACUUCGCGAGCACUGGUGGAAGUGACCUGCAUGUCGCUUAUUGUCACUAUCACUUGUUUGACAAUUAUGGCUGGUAUUUAUUUCACCUUGUACUGUUGUUUCCUUUCUAUGUGACUAUUUUGAAUAUCUGACUAGUCUGGAAAUUUUCUGCGUCAAGGACAGAGAUGGACCCUUUACUUCUCUGUAGCCCCACCACACUUUACAUAAUCCAUACAUUUUUGUCAAUUAGUAACCCUCUCUUUAUUCCAUCCACAGAUUCUUUCAGAUGGUGACCAAAAUGCUCUCUCUUUUGGAGAUAAUAAUUAGUCUCAUCUUUAUUGGCUUUCUCGUCAGUGUGGAGGGAAUUACUGGAUGAAUGAAUAGGAACACGGUGGCCAUGUGGCCUGUUGCCCCCAAGUACUACUUGGAGACUAGCCUGGCAUGGAAAUGACCAGAUGUUUGAAGCUCAGCCACUGGUGAGUGAAAUAAAAAAGUUUGCUGUCACACGUUCCAUCUGCACGGACAGUUUCUGCGCUGCAAAGCCACUGGUGCUUAGGAUCUCACAUGGUUCUUAACCCCUUCCUCAAUUUGGAGUUGGAAGGCCCUGGAAGGCUAAUUCGACCACACAGACUUUUCCUCACACCUGGACAGCUGUGUGCCAUCUCCCAUUGCUUCCAAAGAAUGCAACAGUUGGUCUUGGUUUCGAGUUCACAGGGUGAUGUCUAGAGGCCUUAUGAUGGGAGCAAGAGGACAGAACAGUCAUCUGUGUAGGCAAGUAACCAGAGACCGAGGAGAACAGGGCCCUCUCCAUGGAUAUCACCUGGGUCAGGAUCAGCCCUCCCCAGCUCCGCUCUGGCUUGUGCAAGUCCCCUGAAGCUCAGACACUAGCCAGGGGAGACCAAGUGAGGAGGGAGAUGCAGGCUUGACUGAUC
RNAcentral lists this long non-coding RNA (1252 nucleotides) under Felis catus (domestic cat). RNAcentral's name for it is "lncRNA (ENSFCAG00000051739.1)". Lineage: Eukaryota; Metazoa; Chordata; Mammalia; Carnivora; Felidae. The record is from RNAcentral.